CAUAAAUUUUAUAUAAAUCACACACACAUCGUCACAUUUGUCGGGGUGCUUUUAUUUUGUUUGUUGAUUGCUUGCUUUCGCUCGCUUUUAGUUAGAAAUAAAGGUCGAAAAAAUGGGAUGUGUGGAGGCCUAAC
This 134-nucleotide small RNA is filed under the name Moritella viscosa. RNAcentral's name for it is "t44 RNA". It matches the Rfam family "t44 RNA". Rfam says of the family: This family consists of a number of bacterial RNA genes of between 135 and 170 bases in length. The t44 gene is found between the map and rpsB genes in all species in the full alignment apart from Shigella flexneri. Lineage: Bacteria; Pseudomonadati; Pseudomonadota; Gammaproteobacteria; Alteromonadales; Moritellaceae. The record is from RNAcentral.